Molecule: ribosomal RNA, 805 nt
Filed under: uncultured Bacillota bacterium
Lineage: Bacteria; Bacillati; Bacillota
Description: bacterial SSU rRNA
Rfam family: Bacterial small subunit ribosomal RNA
Source: RNAcentral
ACAUAGCAAUAUGUUAGUGGCGACCGGGUGCGUAACACGUAGCUAACCUGCCCUUCAACGGGGGACAACUGUUGGAAACGACAGCUAAUACCGCAUGAUGUCGGAGCGAACAAAUAGUUUCGACUAAACUUACGGGGUUGAAGGAGGGGGCUGCGGCCCAUCAGGUAGUUGGAGAGGUAAAAGCUCACCAAGCCAAUGACGGGUAGGGGACCUGAGAGGGUGGUCCCCCACACUGGGACUGACAACGGCCCAGACUCCUACGGGAGGCAGCAGUAAGGGAUAUUGCGCAAUGGGCGAAAGCCUGACGCAGCAACGCCGCGUGGAGGAUGAAGGCCUUCGGGUUGUAAACUUCUUUUAGCAGGGACGAGGAAGGACGGUACCUGCGGAAUCAGUCACGGCUAACUACGUGCCAGCAGCCGCGGUAAAACGUAGGUGGCAAGCGUUAUCCGGAUUUACUGGGCGUAAAGGGUGUGCAGGCGGGUUGGCAAGUGGUGUAUGAAAUCUCCCAGCUUAACUGGGAUAGGUUAUGCCAGACUGCCAAUCUAGAGGACGAGAGAGGGGGGUGGAAUUCCGGGUGUAGUGGUGAAAUGCGUAGAGAUCCGGAGGAACCCCAGAGGCGAAGGCGGCCCCCUGGCUCGUACCUGACGCUCAGCCACGAAAGCAUGGGGAGCGAACGGGAUUAGAAACCCCGGUAGUCCAUGCCGUAAACGAUGCAAACUAGGCGCUGACGGUCUCAACCCCGCCGGUGCCGCAGCUAACGCGCUAAGUUUGCCGCCUGGGGAGUACGGUCGCAAGGCUAAAACUC